CCUACGGGUGGCAGCAGUGGGGGAUAUUGCACAAUGGGGGAAACCCUGAUGCAGCGACGCCGCGUGAGUGAAGAAGUAUUUCGGGAUUUAAAGCUCUAUCAGCAAGGAAGAAAAUGACAGUACCUGACCAAGAAGCCCCGGCUAACUACGUGCCGCCAGCCGCGGUAAUACGGAGGGGGCAAGCGUUAUCCGGAUUUACUGGGUGUAAAGGGGGCGUAGACGGUUAGGUCAGUCUGGAGUGAAAGCCCGGGGCCCAACCCCGGGACUGCGUUGGAAACUGUGUAACUGGAGUACAGGAGGGGUAGGCGGAAUGCCUGGUGUAGCGGUGAAAUGCGUAGAUAUCAGGAGGAACACCGGCGGCGAAGGCGGCCUGCUGGACUGAAACUGACGUUGAGGCUCGAAAGCGUGGGGAGCAAACAGGAUUAGAUACCCGGGUAGUC
RNAcentral lists this ribosomal RNA (440 nucleotides) under uncultured bacterium. RNAcentral describes it as "partial 16S ribosomal RNA". It matches the Rfam family "Bacterial small subunit ribosomal RNA", at positions 338 to 795 of the family's 1533-position model. The record is from RNAcentral.